AGAGUUUGAUCCUGGCUCAGGAUGAACGCUAGCUACAGGCUUAACACAUGCAAGUCGAGGGGCAUCAGGAAGAAAGCUUGCUUUCUUUGCUGGCGACCGGCGCACGGGUGAGUAACACGUAUCCAACCUGCCCUUUACUCGGGGAUAGCCUUUCGAAAGAAAGAUUAAUACCCGAUGGCAUAAUGAUUCCGCAUGGUUUCAUUAUUAAAGGAUUCCGGUAAAGGAUGGGGAUGCGUUCCAUUAGGUUGUUGGUGAGGUAACGGCCCACCAAGCCUUCGAUGGAUAGGGGUUCUGAGAGGAAGGUCCCCCACAUUGGAACUGAGACACGGUCCAAACUCCUACGGGAGGCAGCAGUGAGGAAUAUUGGUCAAUGGGCGCUAGCCUGAACCAGCCAAGUAGCGUGAAGGAUGAAGGCUCUAUGGGUCGUAAACUUCUUUUAUAUAAGAAUAAAGUGCAGUAUGUAUACUGUUUUGUAUGUAUUAUAUGAAUAAGGAUCGGCUAACUCCGUGCCAGCAGCCGCGGUAAUACGGAGGAUCCGAGCGUUAUCCGGAUUUAUUGGGUUUAAAGGGAGCGUAGGUGGACUGGUAAGUCAGUUGUGAAAGUUUGCGGCUCAACCGUAAAAUUGCAGUUGAUACUGUCAGUCUUGAGUACAGUAGAGGUGGGCGGAAUUCGUGGUGUAGCGGUGAAAUGCUUAGAUAUCACGAAGAACUCCGAUUGCGAAGGCAGCUCACUGGACUGCAACUGACACUGAUGCUCGAAAGUGUGGGUAUCAAACAGGAUUAGAUACCCUGGUAGUCCACACAGUAAACGAUGAAUACUCGCUGUUUGCGAUAUACAGUAAGCGGCCAAGCGAAAGCAUUAAGUAUUCCACCUGGGGAGUACGCCGGCAACGGUGAAACUCAAAGGAAUUGACGGGGGCCCGCACAAGCGGAGGAACAUGUGGUUUAAUUCGAUGAUACGCGAGGAACCUUACCCGGGCUUAAAUUGCAGUGGAAUGAUGUGGAAACAUGUCAGUGAGCAAUCACCGCUGUGAAGGUGCUGCAUGGUUGUCGUCAGCUCGUGCCGUGAGGUGUCGGCUUAAGUGCCAUAACGAGCGCAACCCUUAUCUUUAGUUACUAACAGGUCAUGCUGAGGACUCUGGAGAGACUGCCGUCGUAAGAUGUGAGGAAGGUGGGGAUGACGUCAAAUCAGCACGGCCCUUACGUCCGGGGCUACACACGUGUUACAAUGGGGGGUACAGAAGGCAGCUAGCGGGUGACCGUAUGCUAAUCCCAAAAGCCUCUCUCAGUUCGGAUCGAAGUCUGCAACCCGACUUCGUGAAGCUGGAUUCGCUAGUAAUCGCGCAUCAGCCACGGCGCGGUGAAUACGUUCCCGGGCCUUGUACACACCGCCCGUCAAGCCAUGGGAGCCGGGGGUACCUGAAGUACGUAACCGCAAGGAUCGUCCUAGGGUAAAACUGGUGACUGGGGCUAAGUCGUAACAAGGUAGCC
RNAcentral lists this ribosomal RNA (1490 nucleotides) under uncultured bacterium. Its description in RNAcentral is "bacterial SSU rRNA". It matches the Rfam family "Bacterial small subunit ribosomal RNA". The record is from RNAcentral.